UUUCUUGGAGAGCUCAGAAAGAGAAGCAGAAUGAGAGUGAUCGUGAGGGAUAGAUGGUAAGUGGGGCCUGAAAGAAUGAUGACCUUCAAUUUGAUGAUCAACCCUUUGAUGGCUAGUUUCAUGUGCAACAUGUGUCACAUGUGCUGCUGGUGGUGAGUAGUUGGAUGAACUAUAGUCAGGCUGCUGGGUACCACCACUAUGGUGCAGAUGGGUAACAUGGCUUGGCGGUGGUGGAUAUACAGUUUGUUGGUGGUAAG
RNAcentral lists this long non-coding RNA (257 nucleotides) under Theobroma cacao (cacao). RNAcentral's name for it is "long non-coding RNA (TCAC_LNC003565)". The record is from RNAcentral. Lineage: Eukaryota; Viridiplantae; Streptophyta; Magnoliopsida; Malvales; Malvaceae.